GACGUAGGGGGCGAGCGUUGUCCGGAAUUACUGGGCGUAAAGAGCACGUAGGCGGGAACUUAAGUCAGGUGUGAAAGACCGUGGCUCAACCACGGGGUGGCAUUUGAAACUGGGUUUCUUGAGGGCAGGAGAGGAAAGCAGAAUUCCUGGUGUAGCGGUGAAAUGCGUAGAAAUCAGGAGGAAUACCAGUGGCGAAGGCGGCUUUCUGGACUGACCCUGACGCUGAGGUGCGAAAGCGUGGGUAGCAAACCGGAUUAGAUACCCUGGUAGUCCCUGAGCGGG
RNAcentral lists this ribosomal RNA (282 nucleotides) under uncultured prokaryote. Its description in RNAcentral is "partial 16S ribosomal RNA". It matches the Rfam family "Bacterial small subunit ribosomal RNA", at positions 524 to 803 of the family's 1533-position model. The record is from RNAcentral.